CACAGAGCGGCCCUGCUGAGCUCAGCCCGUGCAACCGGGGCACCGACUUAAAGGGUUUGCGGGGGGGGUGGGGGCGAAGGGGAGGCGAGCUAUUGCCUCCGCAUUAGUUAGGAUCAAAGCAACGAGCUAGCGCAGGAGAGCCAGGAGGGGGAGAACUGGCCCCACAGAAAAAGCCACGCAGCCCAGUCUGAGGCCCUGCCCCUGCAAUCCCAGCUCUGCAGGUGCGCCCCAGCAAAUCAGGAGCCAUAGGUGCUGGAACUAGGGGUGCUGCUGCACCCCCUGGCGUGACGUGGUUUCCAUCAUACAGAGGGUUUACAGUUUGGUUCAGUGGCUCUCAGCACCCCCACUAUACAAAUUGUUCCAGCAUCUCUGUCAGGAGCCCCCUCCUCCGUCCCUCAGGAUCAAGUUGGAGAUAAUGGCUCCCUGCUUAUAGUGCCCGUGCUCCUCUCAUUUUCUUUUAUAUUCUUUGGUCUGCUUUAUAUUUUAAAAGCUAUAAAGGCAAGCGACCCCAGCAGAGUUCAUAGUAACUAAUAACACUUAGCUCUUUUAUAGCACUUUUCAUCCACUGUCUCCCAGCAUCUUACCGAGGGACACAAGUAUCAUUAUCCACAUUUGACAUAGGAGGAAACGGAGGCAAAGAGCAGUGAAGUGACUUGCCCCAGGUCAGAAGCAAGUCCGUGGUGAAGCCAAGAAUAGAAAGCAGGGUCCCAAAUGGAGGAGGCUCAGGCCAAGCCCAGGCACAGAACUUUGCCACCUCUGUAGGAGUGUGAGUGCAGCAGGUCUGCUGGAGGCAAGGGGACAUGUCGGUGCAUGCAGGAGAGGGCAUGGACACAGGCUAGGGCAGACCUGCAUCCCAUUACUUUUUCAUUCCUGAAAGGUCCUGAGUGUGUGCUGAGGCUUGAAAUCCUCCUCUACUACCCCCCAGCUUUUGAAUAACCACCUCUCUUCUCUCCCUGUACCAGUGUCUACACCAGUGCAGGCGUGAAUCUGCUUCUAGGUUUCCUGAUUCCGAGCCCCAGCACGGCCUGUCCAUUGCAUCACACUGAGGAUAAGGUAUAGGCUGGAUUCAUGAAGGUUGGAUCUAGAUCACAACCGUUCCCACACCCCAAAGUUCUUGGAUUUGGGGGAGUGAUUGUAAAUCAGUGAAAUGCAAAAACUAAACAAAUGUAAGUAGAGAAAGAUGAGGUACCGUUUUAAAGUCAUUGCAGUUUUAAUAAGGUAUUAAAUAGGUGUGCUAGGUGAGGGGAGCUGUUCAUUGAUAAUUGUUAAUAAAACACCACACAGUGCCAAAUUUAUAUAAGAAUAACAUGCUUCUGAGAAAACAUGUAUAGGCAAAUAUUUGUUUCUUAUAUCAGUUCUUAUAUCAUGUAUGUGAUCUUGACCUUGACACUGCACUGGCGCUGCUGUAGUGUAUCAGUGAAGAUACUACUACCCUGAUGGGAGAGCUUUUCCCAUCCGCGUAAUUAAUCCAGCUCCACGAGAGCUGAUACCUGUGUUGAUGGGAGAAGCCCUCCUGUCAACAUAGCAUUGUCUAGAUUGGGCGUUAGGUCAGUUAACUGCAUUGCUCGGGAAUGUGGAUUUUUCACACCCAAGCGACGUAAUUAUAUUGAUAUAAAUGUAUAGUGUAGACCUGGCCUCAGUCACUGCACUUGAUAAAGGGAGUGCUGCUUGUCCUAGCAGGCACGGUAACAACUUCAUUAACGUAAAUAUUUCUGAAAAGGCAGUGUACAUUUCACUCCACAUGAUUUUAGGCUCUAUUUGGCACAGUUUGAAGUCUUUGGUGCCAAAGAUCAUGUGUUCUGUUUUUCCACGUGCAUCCAGUGAAUGAUUGCCAUUGUAGCUCUGGGCUGUGGGUAUUCAUUUAUUAUCCAGUUACUUCUACCAUGGUAUAUGGAAAGGAUUUAGAGGCAAAUUUAACUUUUAACAAAAUAAUCUAGCUUGUUGCAUAUCCUGGAGGCAUAAUCUCUGUGAUCAUGCUUAACUUGGAGAUUUAUAGAAUUUUUAGGUUUGUUGGCAAUGAAAAGACUACAAUGACCAUUCUGCUGCAAAGCCAACACCUGGAAUCAUGAUCUUGCAGAAAUAGUUCUUGAGAGCCCAACUUCAGAUCUUCAUAAACUGAUUCCAGGAUAGACCACAAGCAUUAGAUGGACAGUGACAGAGACGGAGAAUGCUUUGAGGAUGACAUAUAAAUGCUGAAAGCACUGUCUUCUACAGGACCAGGAAGAAAAUUCUGAAUGUCGAGAGCCGCAGAGCAGGGUGAUGAAGAAAGUUCUUCACUGACAAAAGCAAAUCUAUUACUGAGUUGACCAGGAAGUCUUAUGAUUAAAACUUCUUUAAUAUGAUCCAACACCAGAAGAGAAUGCCAUGGUCCAGGGAGUGACGCGGGUCUCAGAGGUGGAGCAGAAGUGACGGUGGUGAGAUAGCACUAGAGGAAGGAUCACCGGCAACCAAGAGCUAAUUUCAGCACGGCCAGCAGGAGGUGCCAAGGUGGUGAGUCCCGCCCUGUCACAAGGGUUACUGAUCCAGGAGAGGACCUUCCCUCUUAUUCCAGGACUGCUUAGUUUGGUGAGGG
This is a long non-coding RNA of Chelonia mydas (Green sea turtle), 2572 nucleotides long. RefSeq lists it as uncharacterized. The transcript has 5 exons. The record is from RefSeq and is a predicted model, not a curated record. NCBI's taxonomy places the organism in Eukaryota, Metazoa, Chordata, Testudines, Cheloniidae.